CAUCCUCGAUCUGCUGAGGGCAGAUGAAGUGAAUAUGUGAAUCAAACCCGCCAGCGGUCAGGAUGCGACCUUCACCCGCGAUAGCUUCGGUACCGGGGCCAACAAUAAUGUCGACACCCGGUUGAGUGUCAGGAUUGCCUGCUUUGCCAAUCUUGUGAAUGCGCCCGUCACGCAGGCCCACAUCGGCUUUGUAAAUGCCCGAAUGAUCAACGAUCAGUGCAUUGGUGAUGACGGUAUCAACAGCACCCGCAGCACGGGUUGCUUGCGAUUGCCCCAUGCCAUCGCGGAUG
Molecule: small RNA, 290 nt
Filed under: Planktotalea frisia
Lineage: Bacteria; Pseudomonadati; Pseudomonadota; Alphaproteobacteria; Rhodobacterales; Paracoccaceae
Description: Rhodobacteraceae bacterium SH6-1 5' ureB small RNA
Rfam family: 5' ureB small RNA
Source: Rfam by way of RNAcentral